GACGAACCACACGAACGUUAUUCGGAAUUACUGGGCUUAAAGGGUGCGUAGGCGGCGCGGACAGUUGGGUGUGAAAUCCCUCGGCUUAACCGAGGAACUGCGCCCAAAACUACCGUGCUCGAGGAAGAUAGAGGUGAGCGGAACUUACGGUGGAGCGGUGAAAUGCGUUGAUAUCGUAAGGAACACCUGUGGCGAAAGCGGCUCACUGGGUCUUUUCUGACGCUGAAGCACGAAAGCUAGGGGAGCAAACGGG
This 253-nucleotide ribosomal RNA is filed under the name uncultured bacterium. RNAcentral's name for it is "partial 16S ribosomal RNA". It matches the Rfam family "Bacterial small subunit ribosomal RNA", at positions 524 to 776 of the family's 1533-position model. The record is from RNAcentral.